Molecule: ribosomal RNA, 492 nt
Filed under: uncultured bacterium
Lineage: Bacteria
Description: partial 16S ribosomal RNA
Rfam family: Bacterial small subunit ribosomal RNA
Source: RNAcentral
AGUGAACGCUGGCGGUAGGCCUAACACAUGCAAGUCGAACGGCAGCACAGUAAGAGCUUGCUCUUACGGGUGGCGAGUGGCGGACGGGUGAGGAAUACAUCGGAAUCUACUUUUUCGUGGGGGAUAACGUAGGGAAACUUACGCUAAUACCGCAUACGACCUACGGGUGAAAGCAGGGGAGCUUCGGACCUUGCGCGAUUGAAUGAGCCGAUGUCGGAUUAGCUAGUUGGCGGGGUAAAGGCCCACCAAGGCGACGAUCCGUAGCUGGUCUGAGAGGAUGAUCAGCCACACUGGAACUGAGACACGGUCCAGUCUCCUACGGGAGGCAGCAGUGGGGAAUAUUGGACAAUGGGCGCAAGCCUGAUCCAGCCAUACCGCGUGGGUGAAGAAGGCCUUCGGGUUGUAAAGCCCUUUUGUUGGGAAAGAAAAGCAGCAGGUUAAUACCCCGCUGUUCUGACGGUACCCAAAGAAUAAGCACCGGCUAACUUCGUG